GGACGAACGCUGGCGGCGUGCCUAAUACAUGCAAGUAGAACGCUGAAGGAGGAGCUUGCUCUUCUGGAUGAGUUGCGAACGGGUGAGUAACGCGUAGGUAACCUGCCUGGUAGCGGGGGAUAACUAUUGGAAACGAUAGCUAAUACCGCAUAACAGUAGAUGUUGCAUGACAUUUGCUUAAAAGGUGCAAUUGCAUCACUACCAGAUGGACCUGCGUUGUAUUAGCUAGUUGGUGGGGUAACGGCUCACCAAGGCGACGAUACAUAGCCGACCUGAGAGGGUGAUCGGCCACACUGGGACUGAGACACGGCCCAGACUCCUACGGGAGGCAGCAGUACGGAAUCUUCGGCAAUGGACGGAAGUCUGACCGAGCAACGCCGCGUGAGUGAAGAAGGUUUUCGGAUCGUAAAGCUCUGUUGUAAGAGAAGAACGAGUGUGAGAGUGGAAAGUUCACACUGUGACGGUAUCUUACCAGAAAGGGACGGCUAACUACGU
Molecule: ribosomal RNA, 495 nt
Filed under: uncultured bacterium
Lineage: Bacteria
Description: partial 16S ribosomal RNA
Rfam family: Bacterial small subunit ribosomal RNA
Source: RNAcentral